CCGGGCAGCGUCGUGCGAGGUGCGGCAUGAGCCUUCUUGCUAGGAGCGGCGGCCUGGGGCCGCUGUGCGCGGCUGCUCGCGCGGUUCUUCCCUGUCUCUGGAGAGGGAAAUACUUCAGCUCCGGGGGAGAGCCGGCACAAAACCAGGUGACACCAAUGCUGCGGCACCUUAUAUACAAAAUCAAGGCAACUGGUCCCAUCACUGUAGCCGAGUACAUGAAGGAGGUCUUGACCAACCCUGCCAAGGGAUAUUAUGUGUACCGUGACAUGCUAGGAGAAAAAGGAGAUUUCAUUACUUCACCGGAAAUAAGUCAGAUCUUUGGGGAGCUGCUAGGUAUAUGGUUCAUCAGUGAAUGGAUGGCCACUGGAAAAAAUGCAGCUUUCCAGCUUGUGGAAUUGGGCCCAGGAAGGGGUACCCUCACAGGAGAUAUUUUGAGGGUGUUCAGUCAGCUUGGAUCUGUGCUGAAAAACUGUGACAUUUCAAUACAUCUGGUAGAGGUGAGCGAAAAAUUGAGUGAGAUUCAAGCAUUAACACUGACGGAAGAGAAGAUCCCGCUAGAGCGGAAUGCUGGGUCCCCCGUAUGUAUGAGAGGUGUUACUAAAUCUGGGAUUCCAAUCUCGUGGUACCGAGAUCUGCAGGAUGUUCCAAAAGGGUACAGCUUUUAUCUGGCACAUGAAUUUUUUGACGUUCUUCCUGUGCAUAAGUUUCAGAAAACACCCCAAGGAUGGCGAGAAGUACUCAUUGAUAUCGACCCACAAGUUUCUGAUAAGCUGCGGUUUGUUUUGGCGCCUGGUGUCACGCCAGCAGAAGUCUUCAUACAACGUGAUGAAAUGAGGGAUCACGUGGAAGUGUGUCCUGAGGCCGGUGUUAUCAUUCAGGAGCUUUCUCAGCGCAUCGCACUAGCCGGAGGUGCGGCACUGAUCGCCGACUAUGGUCAUGAGGGCACGAAGACAGACACCUUCAGAGGGUUUUGUGGCCACAAGCUUCAUGACGUCCUGACUGCCCCUGGAACGGCGGACCUCACAGCCGAUGUGGACUUCAGUUAUCUGCGCAGAAUGGCAGGGGGACAAGUAGCUUCUCUCGGGCCAAUAAAACAACAGAUGUUUUUAAAAAAUAUGGGCAUUGAUGUCCGGCUGAAGGUUCUUUUAGACAAAUCAGAUGAGCCAGCCAGGCAGCAGUUACUUCAUGGGUAUGAUAUGUUAAUGAAUCCUCAGAAGAUGGGAGAAAGAUUUAAUUUUUUUGCCUUGCUGCCUCAUCAGAGACUUCACGGGAGAAGCCAUCCGAUGGAUGCGUGCCAGUCGAAGCCCUCGGUGUCACCCGUAGCUGGGUUUGGUGAACUUACCUGGCGGUGAUCUCAGUGUGGUCAUUUUACCCCUAAGUCUGCCUAAGAAAGCAAAAUAAAGGGACAUGUUUCAUAUAUCACAGGUCAUGGUCUCGGGGGUUGUGGGAUCUCCAGUCCCACGUCAGGCUCCAUACGCAGCGUGGAGUUUGCUUGGGAGUCUCCCUCUCCCUCUCUCAAAAUAAAUGACAACCUACAAACAACAGUUGUGCAGUAAAACAUCAGUACAUAAAAUGAAAUCCUUCCUUAUUGAAGUUAGCUCAUUGAUAAUUAAGGAUCUUCUUCCAUAUCAUCUGGAUUGGGAGCCAUAAUGAAGUGCUUUGGGUAUACAAGAUUGUGGGUGUAUGCAUGUAUUUCCCAGCGGGCAUCGUCACUUUCAUGUGUAAUGUAACGUUCACCGAUGCGAGUUUCAAAUUCUCUAAGGUCAAGCCAAGUCUGAUAGUCCUAGAAAAAAAAAGAGGUGAUUAUAAAGUAUAAAAGUAACAAAAUACUGUGAAUUUUUUUUCUUAGCGCCCUAGUCACAAAAUUGACAACCUAAACCCAAUACCAAAAGUACUUGCUAUACUGUAAGUUCCAUUUGUAAUAUUUAAAUUAGCAAUGUUAAAUACUUUUUCAAAUUUAGAAUCUCUAAUGACGUAGCCAGUUUCUACAACUAAAAAAAAAAAAAAAUUGCCGGAGGCUUCUGAGAUGGCUAAUAAUAAUCACUAAAACAUCCUGUUCUAUACUCUGACCGUACACCCACACGUUACUCCUCAAACUAGGGGAAAGUACUUAGAAUCUCCUACCAGGGUAAUUUAAUAAUCAUGGAGACUGACUAAGACUGCAUUUGUUUUGAAGUUAAUGCUACUCCCUACUCCCUUUAAAACAGUUCUAAAGCUUCUCUUUACUUUGAAAUUUGGGGGUAUCUUUUGACAGAUCUAUGCAACAGCUUUUGGGGGGGACUUCAGCCAAACAUUUUAAAUGGCAUUUCUGAUCUCAUCAAUGCAAAUAUGAAUCUUUUAGUGGAUAAUUUUAAAGUAAAAUAUAUUUGACAAAAUAAUAUGCUUAUCUUACAAAAAGGUGGUAUGAAACAUAAGGUUCUAUAAAAAGGCUAAAUCACUGCUUUUCAGUUCACGGGAGUUUAACUGUCUAGAAGUUCUGCAUUUCAGUGGCUUACUGCAGAACCUCCACAGAUGCAGCCACAGGACAAAUUAAUCACUAAAGAACACUUAACAGUAUUCUAAGACAAGGAGAAUCUGUUGAUCUUAGAGUGGUUUCAGUAGGUAAGACAAAGUACAAUGAAUGGCCUGAAUGAGGAUCACCAGAGAGACGACUUUUUUUUGUCUUUUUACCUGCAGCCAGGGAUGACUAAGAGAUUUGUCCACACUGUAACGUUUUCUCAUCUUCACUUGAAGUAGGUUGUUGAUCAAAUCAAUUGCUAAGAGAAAAGACAAAAUCAGACACGUAAAUUUGGGUAUAUGGAGCAAACCAAACCUGUAAGUCUUAGAAGGCAGUAGUUCAAUCCACAGAAAUACAGGGUCGAGGGUUUUGCUUCUUAAGGCUGCAGUCUUAACAGCGACCCUGCGCAGCGACCCUGUUAUGAUCCGUAAAUAUUCGCUGCACUUAGUACACGUUCACAUGCACACUGAAUGUGUGCAGAGUACACAUUCAGUGUGGCAGAGGGUCGGUUAAUGCCUGCUGCCGUUACUCUGUUUCGUCGUCUACAAAAUGAGGUUGUUGUAAAGAUGAAAUAACACAUGUAAAGAGCUUAGAAUUGUGCCUAGCACGUAAGUGCUAGUUAUGGCUAUUAUUAUUUCAAAAUGAAUUAAAAAAACUGAUCAAAGACCGACUCGCUGUUUCCCCCAAAGACACCAUUCCCUAGCCCCUGGCUUGGUCUGCUAAGGAGCCAAAGCCACUGGCUUCCUCUACACAUAGGGCCAGACUAACAGGGUAACUUAUUACCACAAGUUCACACUCAAACAGGCGUGGUGUUUGGUGUGCAUAAUAACAGUAAGUAUGCUGGCAUACUUAUCUCAUCCAGUUAUUUGAAGAAAUGAAGCAACUGCAAAACCAUAACCUCCGUGUGACUGCGUCCUGACUACAGUGCAGCGUGACAGUACGUUUGAAAUACAGAUACAAAAGCCUGGACCCAGGGAUGAGCCAAAUGAAAGGUUCACAUCAUACCCACUCUGUUUCUCCUCUGCAUACCACAGGUAUUUUAAUUAUGAACUCUCGGUUCCAAAUACUUCAAACUUUUACCCGGUGUUGCUUAAGUGGACGUCCACCAUGUGCAACAGAAUCAUUUGGGGUCUUUAUUAAAAUGCAUUCCUAGUGUCACGCCAGCUGGUGAAGUGGAAGCUCUGGGAUAUAGCCAGGGGGUUUGGGUUUAGUCCACUUACCACCUGAUGGUGCUGACAGAAGAGGUCUCAGACCACACUGCCCGAGGAACUCUAAGAGAAACCCUCAUAUAUACUUCAGUUAGCUGUUCAUUACCAAGUAAGCCUGCUACUGUUCUUACAGGUUGUUCCUCAAACUUCCCCUGUUUAAUGGGCUGUUAAUCCCUAUGAUUAGGUCUGGUACUUCUGGAAAACAAAGAAUACCCUUGUUCCAAAGGUUGGCAAAAUCCAGGUGGGCUAUUUCCCCAGCAGGAUUCCCUUCAAUAUGCGGCUGCUAAAUAACUUGCGUGCUCUGCCCGACAGUAUCAAAAAGUAAGAGGGACAGCCCGGGCAUUCUUCAUGCGUACAGAACCCCAGCUUGCAAGCUCAAAAACCGGUAAUGGGCAGGGAAAAUAAAUGUAUCCUGCUUCCUAGGACUGGACCCUGGGAGGGCUGCAAAUAAACUGGAAAAUGUCUAUAAAGUUCAUUCUAGAUAUAAAGAACCUGAAAGGUCUCCAUUCAAGGAGCUUACAAUCUAGUUCUGAAAAUAAGUAAUUAUGAAAAGAAAGAAUAAGGAAAAAUAUCUCCGCCUAGUAGCCUGAGUUGAUCUUACUUACCAAGUUUAGAGGAGGGGCUCAGGGAAGAUUUCAUAGAUGUGCCACAGUCCUCAAGGACUAGAACGAUUUCAGUAACAAGGAAGAGGGACUGUAGGCAGGGGAAAGGUCUAAGCAAAAUGCAGAAAGUAGGUGGGAAGAGAAAACAACUAGGUUUUUUGGCGGGGAGCAGGGAGGGGAGGACAGCAGGUAGCCUCGGGCUCUCAGGGAGACCCACAGAGUUGCAA
Neogale vison (American mink) is the source of this 4534-nucleotide RNA transcript. It is a transcript of the gene named NADH:ubiquinone oxidoreductase complex assembly factor 7, with no coding region annotated. The transcript has 12 exons. The record is from RefSeq and is a predicted model, not a curated record. NCBI's taxonomy places the organism in Eukaryota, Metazoa, Chordata, Mammalia, Carnivora, Mustelidae.